GCCUCCUUAGUGCAGUAGGUAGCGCGUCAGUCUCGUAAUCUGAAGGUCCUGAGUUCGAGCCUCAGAGGGGGGGUCA
RNAcentral lists this transfer RNA (76 nucleotides) under Pongo abelii (Sumatran orangutan). RNAcentral's name for it is "tRNA-Thr (CGT) (tRNA-Thr-CGT-5-1)". It matches the Rfam family "tRNA". From Rfam's summary of the family: Transfer RNA (tRNA) molecules are approximately 80 nucleotides in length. Their secondary structure includes four short double-helical elements and three loops (D, anti-codon, and T loops). Lineage: Eukaryota; Metazoa; Chordata; Mammalia; Primates; Hominidae. The record is from RNAcentral.